Long non-coding RNA from Aedes albopictus (Asian tiger mosquito), 1063 nucleotides. RefSeq lists it as uncharacterized. NCBI's taxonomy places the organism in Eukaryota, Metazoa, Arthropoda, Insecta, Diptera, Culicidae. The record is from RefSeq and is a predicted model, not a curated record. The transcript is spliced from 2 exons.
UUUAUAUUUAUUUGAAUCUGAAAAGCCGAUAUAAACGUUUUCAUGGAUGAUGAUUUAUAUUUCUAGCCAAAAUUUUAGUUAUUUUAAGGUUGCAGACAAAAUUCCAUAACAAUCGAACCGUUAGAAAAACAGAUUUUGAUCCCAAAACUUGAUUAUUUUGUAUGGAAAACGGCUCUGUCUUUAUACUUAUUUCUCGCACUUUAUAACACGACGGUUUGGAACAUUCGUGCCACGAACUGUCCCAAAAAUCGCCCGUUUUUGUCUUCACACCUGACUUCACAGUCAAAUGUGUCACAAACAAGUGAUAGAUUGGCAAGUGCUUUUCACGCUCUCAUUUCAUUUUCGCUCUCUUCCUUUUUUGCAACAAUGACAGCAAGACGUCGCAUCAAAAACGAGUAGUUUGUGUGAUAGCAAGGAGACUUAAUUUGACGGAGAUCGUCAAAACUUGCGUUCAAAAUUGGGAGUCGAAAGUGGUAAAAAAUCACAGAAUCCCACUCAUGAAAUAGAUUAGAAUGACCACACACUCAGACUCUAUUUCGCUGUUCGGUAAAAAUUUCGCCGGAAAAAAUCGGUGAAGUAUAAAAACUACCGCUUUUCGGUAAUUAUUGUGUAUUUCACAAGAUUUCGGUAGUUUAAUUACCGAUCCGUAUGUAAUUUAAUACAUAAACAGCAUUUGCUGUCAAAUAUAUUACAGUUUGCACUGUAAAAUCGGGAAAACACCGUAUCCGGUAAUUAAAACUACCGAAAAGUUUGUAAAUCUUCACCAAAUUACCGAAAUCCUGUGAAGUGUUGAACAGACAUACAAACGUCAAACUGGCGUGGCGACAGUAAAUAAAAUUCUCAUGUCAGUGGUAUUAGCUCAAGAGUUUUCUGUAUUGGAAGUCCGGAAUGACUGAAAACCUCGUGUUAUCAGACAGCACAGUGCAUUCGUAGCAGCUGGCCUUUCUCACUGCUUGCCAGCAUCAAAAUGAAGGUUCCUCCUGAUCACCUCUGCCUACCACACAAGCAUCGAAGAAGGUUCAUUAAAGCAGUGAUAAAGAUGUUACACUACCCGUCAUAAGUA